This 65-nucleotide transfer RNA is filed under the name Phyllidia elegans. Its description in RNAcentral is "tRNA-Glu". The record is from RNAcentral. Lineage: Eukaryota; Metazoa; Mollusca; Gastropoda; Nudibranchia; Phyllidiidae.
GUCUUGUUAGUUAAAAAAUAACAUCACUUUUUCAAGGUGACAUUGGAUUUUAUAUUCACAGGAUA